This is a non-coding RNA of Rattus norvegicus (Norway rat), 69 nucleotides long. Lineage: Eukaryota; Metazoa; Chordata; Mammalia; Rodentia; Muridae. The record is from Rfam.
GGGGAUUUGGCUCAGUGGUAGAGCGCUUGCCUAGCAAGCACAAGGCCCUGGGCUCGGUCCCCAGCUCCG